This 404-nucleotide ribosomal RNA is filed under the name uncultured bacterium. RNAcentral describes it as "bacterial SSU rRNA". It matches the Rfam family "Bacterial small subunit ribosomal RNA", at positions 355 to 776 of the family's 1533-position model. The record is from RNAcentral.
UGGGGGAUAUUGCACAAUGGGGGGAACCCUGAUGCAGCGACGCCGCGUGGGUGAAGAAGCGCCUCGGCGCGUAAAGCCCUGUCAGCAGGGAAGAAAAUGACGGUACCUGAAGAAGAAGCCCCGGCUAACUACGUGCCAGCAGCCGCGGUAAUACGUAGGGGGCAAGCGUUAUCCGGAUUUACUGGGUGUAAAGGGAGCGUAGACGGCGAUGCAAGUCUGAAGUGAAAGGCGGGGGCCCAACCCCUGGACUGCUUUGGAAACUGGCGGGCUGGAGUGCGGGAGGGGUAAGCGGAAUUCCUAGUGUAGCGGUGAAAUGCGUAGAUAUUAGGAGGAACACCGGUGGCGGAGGCGGCUUACUGGACCGUAACUGACGUUGAGGCUCGAAAGCGUGGGGAGCAAACAGG